CCUAUGACUAAUAUAUAUAUAUAUAUAUAUAUAUAUAUAUAUAUCUUUCACUUAUUUUCUUUCAUACGUACCAGUAAUUAACCAGCAGCUUGUUGUUGAUUCUGAAAAAAGAAAGAAACAAAAGAUGGUCAUAAUCUCAAGAUCAUUUGCAGCUGCUUCACUUCUUAUCUCUCUUAUGCUUCUCCAUCCCAUCACCCAUUCCCACCAAGCGGUAAUAAUUUAAUUAAUUAUUUAUUUGUAUACUUAAUAUUUGCAUUAUAUAUUAAUAUACGUGCAGUACAUAUACGCGCACACAUACACUAGAGCUUUAGCUAUCAGUACAUGCAUGGUUAGUAAACCCAAUUUGAUUCUAAGUAGUUUCUCUAUGCUCUAGAUCGUAAAUUAGGGGUUGAGUAUGAUAUUUAGGGAUGGGUAUGAGAGAUUUGGGGCUGAAAUUAGGGAUGGAUAUAAGAGAUAAGAGAUUUAGUGGAGUUGAGAGGGCUGGGUAUAAGAGAUAAG
RNAcentral lists this long non-coding RNA (498 nucleotides) under Panax ginseng (ginseng). RNAcentral describes it as "long non-coding RNA (PGIN_LNC005529)". The record is from RNAcentral. Lineage: Eukaryota; Viridiplantae; Streptophyta; Magnoliopsida; Apiales; Araliaceae.